UUUUUUGCUACUUGAUCCUUAGGAUGUCUAGAAUUUAAUGAUGAUAAAUUUUGAAGUUGUGCUUGGAUGGAUUUUGAUUUGUGUUAGAAUAUGUGAACAUGUGUACAUUUAUGACCUUGCUCCAUUCAUCUUAUCAUGAAAUGCUUGAUUUUAAUCCAAUGGACAUGAAAUUUUACAUGCUGAUUCAUGACACAUUGAUGGAUGUUUAAGGCCUGGUUUGGUAUUUUUCUCAUUUACCAUUUCUAUUUUAUGCAUGUGUUUACAUGUGUAACACCCCAAAAUUUU
Molecule: long non-coding RNA, 285 nt
Filed under: Lathyrus oleraceus (garden pea)
Lineage: Eukaryota; Viridiplantae; Streptophyta; Magnoliopsida; Fabales; Fabaceae
Description: Pisum sativum (pea) long non-coding RNA (PSAT_LNC031304)
Source: RNAcentral